Molecule: long non-coding RNA, 234 nt
Organism: Labrus mixtus (cuckoo wrasse)
Lineage: Eukaryota; Metazoa; Chordata; Actinopteri; Labriformes; Labridae
Exons: 2
Source: RefSeq, a predicted model, not a curated record
UUUCUGAAAUCAAUGCCCAAAGGAAACAGCAGUCCAGACUCUGAUUCCAGCUCCGAAGAUGCCCUCAGAUUCAGAUCCAUCAGCAACCCCUGACAACAUGGAGGACUCGUCCCCUGAGCGUUUCCUGUCCUCUCUCGAUGGAGUUCUUCUCUUUAGUCAUUAACUCUUGAAAACAGCAGCACAAAAUGCCAGACUGUUUGACAAGUGUGUGAUUGAAUAAAUUGAAAUGGAAUC